Molecule: ribosomal RNA, 253 nt
Filed under: uncultured bacterium
Lineage: Bacteria
Description: partial 16S ribosomal RNA
Rfam family: Bacterial small subunit ribosomal RNA
Source: RNAcentral
GACAGAGGCCCCGAGCGUUAGUCGGAAUCACUGGGUUUAAAGGGUGCGUAGGUGGGCAAGUAAGUCAGUGGUGAAAUCUCCGGGCUUAACCCGGAAACUGCCAUUGAUACUAUUUGUCUUGAAUACUGUGGAGGUCAGCGGAAUAUGUCAUGUAGCGGUGAAAUGCUUAGAUAUGACAUAGAACACCAAUUGCGAAGGCAGCUGGCUACACAAAUAUUGACACUGAGGCACGAAAGCGUGGGGAUCAAACAGG